Molecule: ribosomal RNA, 507 nt
Filed under: uncultured bacterium
Lineage: Bacteria
Description: partial 16S ribosomal RNA
Rfam family: Bacterial small subunit ribosomal RNA
Source: RNAcentral
ACGAACGCUGGCGGCGUGCUUAACACAUGCAAGUCGAACGGGAUAAUUUGAGAGCUUGCUCUUAGAGAAUCUAGUGGCAAACGGGUGAGUAACACGUAGACAACCUGCCGACAGGAUGGGGACAACAUUCCGAAAGGAAUGCUAAUACCGAAUGAAGCGGAGGAGAGGCAUCUCUCCUCCGUGAAAGAUGGCCUCUGAAUAUGCUAUCACCUGUCGAUGGGUCUGCGUCUGAUUAGCUAGUUGGUGAGGUAACGGCUCACCAAGGCGACGAUCAGUAGCCGGUCUGAGAGGAUGAACGGCCACAUUGGGACUGAGACACGGCCCAGACUCCUACGGGAGGCAGCAGUGGGGAAUCUUCCGCAAUGGGCGCAAGCCUGACGGAGCAACGCCGCGUGAGUGAAGAAGGUCUUCGGAUCGUAAAGCUCUGUUGACGGGGACGAACGUGCGAAGGGUGAAUAAUCCUUUGUAAUGACGGUACCUGUCGAGGAAGCCACGGCUAACUACGUG